Eubalaena glacialis (North Atlantic right whale) is the source of this 286-nucleotide long non-coding RNA. RefSeq lists it as uncharacterized. NCBI's taxonomy places the organism in Eukaryota, Metazoa, Chordata, Mammalia, Artiodactyla, Balaenidae. The record is from RefSeq and is a predicted model, not a curated record. The transcript has 3 exons.
UGCUAGCUGGCGGAGCCUGAGGCCGGGCGGCGUCCGGGUCGGGGUGCUUUGUCGCGUCUCCCGUCGGGUGGCAGGCCAGGGAUUUGGGUGGAGAGUUGAGGACGUGUGCGCUUUUCUCUCUUUUCGGGCCUUUGUCGGUAGUAGAAAUCUCUGGCCACUCGUGGUAACGUUCUAUUCGUCGGAAUGAUGGAUUUCCUUUUGGAGAUACACCCGGGAGUGUUAACGGAAGAAAUGUUGUUUCUAAGAGAAAUGGGUAGAAAUAACCCAUUUUGAGGAAGCCAUGGCA